UGGGGAUUCAAGUCUGGCUUAGGUUUACCCUUUUCAGGAACAUCUCUUAGCAAUGCCUGAAUAUUACUCAGGUCUCUGUAAAGACCAAUGAGAAGAAUGGAACCGUGUUACCUGCAGCAUAAAUGAACACCUGGGCUGUUCGGGGCAGCGCCCUGUGGUUCAACUCUACAGCCAAACGCCAGGCAGGAGCCUGGUGCAGAGGCCGUCCUCUGACAGCCCGGGAAGGACGCGCUUCAGGGGCAUUCUGGGAAGACAAGCAGCGGGGUGGAAACUGGGGCGGCACAGGCGCCGUCCCUCACCCAGGCUCGUGGGUCUGCAUCAGCACUAAAGAGGAAACCAACUCUUA
Molecule: long non-coding RNA, 346 nt
Organism: Manis pentadactyla (Chinese pangolin)
Lineage: Eukaryota; Metazoa; Chordata; Mammalia; Pholidota; Manidae
Exons: 3
Source: RefSeq, a predicted model, not a curated record